CUUUGUUCUUCAGCAUUUUCUCUUUCAUUUCCUCACAUCAAUGGUACACAACCCAAUGCUCCAAUGGCCCACACUGUUUAUCUUCUCCAUUGCCAUCACUGCAAAAUAAAUGCUUCUCCUAAAACAAAACCAAAAAUUCUUCUUCUACAGGUAAUUGACGCUUGACGUUCCACUUUCUCCCCACGAUCUCCACAAAAAACUGAUGGAUUGCAUAUUAAAGUCGAUGCCUCGCCUCCCAUCAUCCUCCAGUACAGGUUGGUGUCUGCCAUAGCGUGCUCAUACUGCAGCUGCAGGUGAGCAUCCCCCUCCUCCCUCCUAAGCCAUUCCCUAUGGCAUAUUGCCAAUUGACUAACGAAUUUGGACUUCCUCAAGUGUUGGACGACUUGGAUGCCCAAUCAGUCGUUUUGAUUGUUCUUCACUCGCUGCAUACCCAACCACCUCAGAUUUACGGCUCCUGUUGGUAUUUAAUGUUCCCAUCCAUUUCAUACGAACCAAUUCUGAAGUUUUGUAUCUUUGGUUCAUAUGUAGAUUUAAUUUUGCUUGAUGAAUACACUGAAUUGCAAUUUAAUUCUUUGCCUAAUCCAAAUCUGAAUUUAAUUUCGCUUGAAAUAUGUAGCCUUCCAUUUCAAUUCUUCAGGUUUCUUCUUGGCUACAUUGGGGUCGAGCCGCCGUUGUCUCACACGCUCCAAUCUGAAGGUAUACACAUAGCUCGCUUCAGAUUGUGUGAAGAUUACUAUUCAUUUUCUGACUAUAAGUGUUUUUCAGCGUUUGUGGGAACGUUACUAUUCAGUGUGCAACUAUAUGCAAAUUUAUAUUUCAGUUUCCGAGCGUUUGUGGGAAGAUUACUAUUCAGUGUGUGACUAUAUGGAAAUUUCAGUUUCAGAUUGGAACUUUUUCUAAUUUAUAUUUUUCAUAUUUUCUUAGUUGAAGAUUACCUCCGACACACGCUCCAAUCUGAAGGUAUAUGCAAAUAUACAUGUUUUACUGCAAAUUAUGAUGGCUCGCUUCCUUGGAGUUUUUUCUAAUUUAUAUUUUCUUACUGAAGAUUACACAAUAGUUCCUCUACACUUCCCAAAGUGUAAUUGUCCCAUGUACAUUUUAGGUAAAGUGCAUAUACUAUGGAUGCAUAUAUAGAUUAUUCUGGAGUUUCUUUCAUUUGGUUGAGGCGGAUCACUGAAACUGAAUAGUAUUCUGGAAAUUAUGAACUUUUUUUACCAGGAAAGAAAUAUGGACACUAUCAUCUCUUAAGAGAAGGAUUUGUCUCUGUUGAACGUUCUCGUGCUACUUUUGCCCAUCUUAAUUGCAUAGCCACACCGAAGAGUUCCCUGGUGUCAUAAGCUUACUCAAAGUAUCUCAAAUAUAUGUGAGUUACGACUAACUAGGUACACACCAGAGAUCUGAAAAAAUCAAUCAAGGUCUAUCGACUGAUCUAAUCUUCCCUAUACAGUGUGUUUGUGCAAAACCGGGUUUUACAGUGCAUUCUCAAUUGUGCUUUUGUUGGACUUCGCAUCAUGGGGUCGAUGCCUCCCGGAUCGAGGUCCAUGCUUCAAGUUUAAGGUUCUAAAUUAUGGUUGACCCUUUUGUGCAACAAAUUAUAUUGGAUUGGUUGCACAACAGUCACACAUAGACUCGCGCAUUAACAUCUGCCAGUUAGUUUGGUUAUACUUUAAAUUCAAAUGGCCCCUUAUUUAUUUAUUUCUCUAUUUAUUUUUGAAUGUCAAUCUUAUAGUGGUUGGUGGAUAAAUCAACCUCGCCAGAUGUUGGGUCCAUGUUGAUGUUGAGGUAUCCCUUCAUCUCCAUCUUAGUGGCUCUUCGAUAUUAUGAUGUUUUGCGGUUCUCCCUCACACUGUCAGUUUGCAGCCUAAGAUUUACAUGACUCAUAAGCAUGCAUAGUUGUGCACCAUAGAAGAGAAGGCAAACCAAAUAAAUUCAGAGGCGCCUAAAAAAAUUAGCAGUUUGCUGCAAAAGUUGUUCUGGUGAGAGACUCAAGUGUGAGCCUCAUGGUUUAUAGGUGACCUAUUUUUUAUAGGAAAUCAGAUUAUGAGUGAACUCACAUAUUAUCAAUGCAAUAUGUUUUUUUA
Triticum aestivum (bread wheat) is the source of this 2081-nucleotide long non-coding RNA. RefSeq lists it as uncharacterized. NCBI's taxonomy places the organism in Eukaryota, Viridiplantae, Streptophyta, Magnoliopsida, Poales, Poaceae. The transcript is spliced from 2 exons. The record is from RefSeq and is a predicted model, not a curated record.